UAGGGAAUCUUCCACAAUGGGCGAAAGCCUGAUGGAGCAACGCCGCGNGUGUGAUGAAGGGUUUCGGCUCGUAAAACACUGUUGUAAGAGAAGAAUGACAUUGAGAGUAACUGUUCAAUGUGUGACGGUAUCUUACCAGAAAGGAACGGCUAAAUACGUGCCAG
This 164-nucleotide ribosomal RNA is filed under the name uncultured bacterium. RNAcentral's name for it is "partial 16S ribosomal RNA". It matches the Rfam family "Bacterial small subunit ribosomal RNA", at positions 355 to 511 of the family's 1533-position model. The record is from RNAcentral.